Molecule: ribosomal RNA, 388 nt
Filed under: uncultured bacterium
Lineage: Bacteria
Description: bacterial SSU rRNA
Rfam family: Bacterial small subunit ribosomal RNA
Source: RNAcentral
AACGAACGCUGGCGGCAUGCCUAACACAUGCAAGUCGAACGAGACCUUCGGGUCUAGUGGCGCACGGGUGCGUAACGCGUGGGAAUCUGCCCUUUGCUUCGGAAUAACAGUUAGAAAUGACUGCUAAUACCGGAUGAUGUCUUCGGACCAAAGAUUUAUCCGGCAAAAGGAUGAGCCCGCGUAGGAUUAGGUAGUUGGGUGGGUAAAGGCCUACCAAGCCGACGAUCCUUAGCUGGUCUGAGAGGAUGAUCAGCCACACUGGGACUGAGACACGGCCCAGACUCCUACGGGAGGCAGCAGUGGGAAUAUUGGACAAUGGGCGCAAGCCUGAUCCAGCAAUGCCGCGUGAGUGAUGAUGGCCUUCGGUCGUAAAGCUCUUUACCUAGGA